GGGUUGUGAGGUUAAGCGACUAAGCGUACACGGUGGAUGCCCUGGCAGUCAGAGGCGAUGAAGGACGUGCUAAUCUGCGAUAAGCGCCGGUAAGGUGAUAUGAACCGUUAUAACCGGCGAUUUCCGAAUGGGGAAACCCAGUGUGAUUCGUCACACUAUCAUUAACUGAAUCCAUAGGUUAAUGAGGCGAACCGGGGGAACUGAAACAUCUAAGUACCCCGAGGAAAAGAAAUCAACCGAGAUUCCCCCAGUAGCGGCGAGCGAACGGGGAGGAGCCCAGAGCCUGAAUCAGCAUGUGUGUUAGUGGAAGCGUCUGGAAAGGCGCGCGAUACAGGGUGACAGCCCCGUACACAAAAGCGCAUGUGCUGUGAGCUCGAUGAGUAGGGCGGGACACGUGGUAUCCUGUCUGAAUAUGGGGGGACCAUCCUCCAAGGCUAAAUACUCCUGACUGACCGAUAGUGAACCAGUACCGUGAGGGAAAGGCGAAAAGAACCCCGGCGAGGGGAGUGAAAAAGAACCUGAAACCGUGUACGUACAAGCAGUGGGAGCACCCUUUGGGGUGUGACUGCGUACCUUUUGUAUAAUGGGUCAGCGACUUAUAUUCUGUAGCAAGGUUAACCG
This 621-nucleotide ribosomal RNA is filed under the name Salmonella enterica. RNAcentral's name for it is "partial 23S ribosomal RNA". It matches the Rfam family "Bacterial large subunit ribosomal RNA", at positions 1 to 652 of the family's 2925-position model. The record is from RNAcentral. Lineage: Bacteria; Pseudomonadati; Pseudomonadota; Gammaproteobacteria; Enterobacterales; Enterobacteriaceae. RNAcentral also lists the same sequence under 3 other names.